This 76-nucleotide transfer RNA is filed under the name Afipia carboxydohydrogena. Its description in RNAcentral is "[Pseudomonas] carboxydohydrogena tRNA-Lys". It matches the Rfam family "tRNA". Rfam says of the family: Transfer RNA (tRNA) molecules are approximately 80 nucleotides in length. Their secondary structure includes four short double-helical elements and three loops (D, anti-codon, and T loops). RNAcentral also lists the same sequence under 8 other names. Lineage: Bacteria; Pseudomonadati; Pseudomonadota; Alphaproteobacteria; Hyphomicrobiales; Nitrobacteraceae. The record is from RNAcentral.
GGGCGAUUAGCUCAGUUGGUAGAGCAGGUGACUCUUAAUCACCGGGUCGUAGGUUCGAGCCCUACAUCGCCCACCA